UGGGGAAUAUUGGACAAUGGGCGCAAGCCUGAUCCAGCAAUACCGCGUGUGUGAAGAAGGCCUUAGGGUUGUAAAGCACUUUCAAUUGGGAGGAAAACCUGCCGGUCAAUACCCGGUAGCUUGACAUUACCUUUAGAAGAAGCACCGGCUAACUCCGUG
This 159-nucleotide ribosomal RNA is filed under the name uncultured type I methanotroph. RNAcentral's name for it is "partial 16S ribosomal RNA". It matches the Rfam family "Bacterial small subunit ribosomal RNA", at positions 355 to 507 of the family's 1533-position model. Lineage: Bacteria; Pseudomonadati; Pseudomonadota; Gammaproteobacteria; Methylococcales; Methylococcaceae. The record is from RNAcentral.